Molecule: ribosomal RNA, 253 nt
Filed under: uncultured bacterium
Lineage: Bacteria
Description: partial 16S ribosomal RNA
Rfam family: Bacterial small subunit ribosomal RNA
Source: RNAcentral
UACGUAGGUGACAAGCGUUGUCCGGAUUUACUGGGCGUAAAGAGCGCGCAGGCGGUCGUUCAAGUCGAGUGUGAAAGCCCCCGGCUCAACUGGGGAGGGUCAUUCGAUACUGAUCGACUCGAAGGCAGGAGAGGGAAGUGGAAUUCCCGGUGUAGUGGUGAAAUGCGUAGAUAUCGGGAGGAACACCGAUAGCGAAGGCAGCACUCUGGUACGUGACUGACGCUGAGACGCGAAAGCGUGGGGAGCAAACAGG